This 449-nucleotide ribosomal RNA is filed under the name uncultured bacterium. RNAcentral's name for it is "partial 16S ribosomal RNA". It matches the Rfam family "Bacterial small subunit ribosomal RNA", at positions 29 to 523 of the family's 1533-position model. The record is from RNAcentral.
AACGAACGCUGGCGGCAUGCCUAACACAUGCAAGUCGAACGAAGGCUUCGGCCUUAGUGGCGCACGGGUGCGUAACGCGUGGGAAUCUGCCCCUCGGUUCGGAAUAACAGUUAGAAAUGACUGCUAAUACCGGAUGAUGACUUCGGUCCAAAGAUUUAUCGCCGAGGGAUGAGCCCGCGUAAGAUUAGGUAGUUGGUGGGGUAAAGGCCUACCAAGCCGACGAUCUUUAGCUGGUCUGAGAGGAUGAUCAGCCACACUGGGACUGAGACACGGCCCAGACUCCUACGGGAGGCAGCAGUGGGGAAUAUUGGACAAUGGGCGAAAGCCUGAUCCAGCAAUGCCGCGUGAGUGAUGAAGGCCUUAGGGUUGUAAAGCUCCUUUACCAGGGAUGAUAAUGACAGUACCUGGAGAAUCAGCUCCGGCUAACUCCGUGCCAGCAGCCGCCGUAA